AGAGUUUGAUCCUGGCUCAGAUUGAACGCUGGCGGCAUGCCUUACACAUGCAAGUCGAACGGCAGCACGGGAGCAAUCCUGGUGGCGAGUGGCGAACGGGUGAGUAAUGUAUCGGAACGUACCUUUCAGUGGGGGAUAACGUAGCGAAAGUUACGCUAAUACCGCAUAUUCUGUGAGCAGGAAAGCAGGGGAUCGCAAGACCUUGCGCUGAUUGAGCGGCCGAUAUCAGAUUAGCUAGUUGGUGAGGUAAAGGCUCACCAAGGCGACGAUCUGUAGCGGGUCUGAGAGGAUGAUCCGCCACACUGGAACUGAGACACGGUCCAGACUCCUACGGGAGGCAGCAGUGGGGAAUUUUGGACAAUGGGGGCAACCCUGAUCCAGCCAUGCCGCGUGAGUGAAGAAGGCCUUCGG
This 411-nucleotide ribosomal RNA is filed under the name uncultured bacterium. Its description in RNAcentral is "bacterial SSU rRNA". It matches the Rfam family "Bacterial small subunit ribosomal RNA", at positions 8 to 421 of the family's 1533-position model. The record is from RNAcentral.